GUUUGUCUUUUUUGAAAAAUGUUUGAAAUUCAUUUUUUUUGUGUUUUUAAAAAAGUUCACGUUUUUAAAAGAAAGAUUUGGAGCUUCUAUAAAAAAACUCUACCUUGCCUUGUUCGUGUCGUUAUAGUACACGGUCCGGUCACUACAGUACAUGUUUGAUCUGCCCCUCCCCAUAGUGCUUUUAGUAUUUCGCGGUGUAUAACAAUCACCACCGUGUCAUCAGCUCGAGUGGCCAGCGAGGCAUUUAGUACCCAGAGGUCGCGGGAUCGAUCCCCCACGGGCACAUAGGACCUCUCAUCCAACCCAGCCACCAGCAGCAGCAGCCUCUUGGGCUCUCGGCCUCGAGCACGGGCUCGUCCACGAGCACCCAGGCCCGAGCCUCGAUCCAGGAUCGAGAGGAGAUCGAUCCCCAGCGCCCUGCCUCGGCUGUGCGACCCGGCCGGCAACCAGGAACCUAGCGCCGCUAUUCCUCGAGCUCUCCGCACCAACUCGACCGGAUCCGCGACCGUCCGUCGCGCCAAGACCUGCACCGAGCCGACGCGUCUGCAGCAUCACACAGCCCCACAACCGCGCACCUCGCUGGCGCGCGUGCAUCGAGCUGUCUCCAUCCUCCCGUACUUCUCUGCCUCGCCGGAAAGGAGCCCCAGCACUCGCGUCGGCGCCCCUUGCCUAGUGGCUAAACACAGGGACGCAUGGUGUACGGCACCGCGGCCACAUGCUGGCCUCUCUUCGGUGCUGCUGCCACCGCGUUGUUCUCCUUUCGCUCCCCACCCAGCCCUAAUCUUCAUAUUUUUACUGCAAAAAACAAAGGUUGUUAAAAUAAUAGUCCCACCUCGCUCCUUUGCAUCCAAACUAAUCGAUUUAUAUACACCGGUGGCCUUGCAACAUCAGAAGUCAGGAAGCAGAGGACAGGAACAAAACGAAGAAAUUAACCCCAUAUAAGGGGGAAAGAUGGGAGCAAUUGGAAAAAGCUCAACUGGCAACAGCCACGGGACGGAUCUGUUUCUGCCAAGUUCAUGUUUAAAGAGAAAAGUGAGGCACGCUUCAAUUAAUUCUUCUGACAUAAUUAAACCUUCCUCGGUCCGGUCGUUGCAGAUUUGCAACGAUCUGGUUUUUUUAAAGAGAAAUGAAAAUUAUCUAGAUUUAUCUAGAUUACGGCAUGCAACCGUUCGGAUGUUGUUUUGAUGGAUAGACUAAUUUCUCCCGUUACAACGCACGGGCAUACGUGCUAGUAAUCUUUCCCUAAUUUUUAAUAAUAAAGCACGGAUUGACUUUGUCGGGUUCACCGUCA
Non-coding RNA from Aegilops tauschii subsp. strangulata, 1291 nucleotides. The record is from RefSeq and is a predicted model, not a curated record. Lineage: Eukaryota; Viridiplantae; Streptophyta; Magnoliopsida; Poales; Poaceae.